GCUGCAGGAAUUCCCAAUACUAUCGAUACGGGUUGUGGGAGCAAGAGCCCGGAGAUGGAUUCUGAGACACGAAUCCAGGCCCUACGGGGCGCAGCAGGCGCGAAAACUUUACAAUGCAGGAAACUGUGAUAAGGGAACCCCGAGUGCCCGUAUGGACGGGCUGUUCAGGUGCUUAAAAACCACCUGGAGAAAGGGCCGGGCAAGACCGGUGCCAGCCGCCGCGGUAAUACCGGCGGCUCGAGUGGUGGCCACUAUUACUGGGCUUAAAGCGUCCGUAGCUUGGUCGUUAAGCCUCUGGGGAAAUCUUCCGGCUCAACCGGAAGGCGUCUCAGGGGAACUGGCGACCUAGGGAUCGGGAGAGGUGAGAGGUACUCUGGGGGUAGGAGUGAAAUCCUGUAAUCCUCAGGGGACCACCUGUGGCGAAGGCGUCUCACCAGAACGACUCCGACAGUGAGGGACGAAAGCUGGGGGAGCAAACCGGAUUAGAUACCCGGGUAGUCCCAGCCGUAAACGAUGCGCG
RNAcentral lists this ribosomal RNA (520 nucleotides) under uncultured Methanofollis sp. RNAcentral describes it as "bacterial SSU rRNA". It matches the Rfam family "Archaeal small subunit ribosomal RNA", at positions 244 to 766 of the family's 1478-position model. Lineage: Archaea; Methanobacteriati; Methanobacteriota; Methanomicrobia; Methanomicrobiales; Methanomicrobiaceae. The record is from RNAcentral.